UCUGGUAGACCGCUAAUUAAUAACUCGAGUUCCUUAUCAUGAAAAACAGAAAUGAGAUCCCGCGGAAUCAGUUCACUGAAUCCUUCCAGAAAAGCAUUUAUCUGAGGGCGGAUAGCAGUCGUUAACCGAUGUUCAGCAACUAAGUCAACAUAUUGUUGCUUAUUUUCCUCGGUAACUCUAAUAUUUCGUCCACCUGGAAUCAGUUAACCGAUGUUCAGCAACUAAGUCAACGUACUGUUGCUUAUUUUCCUCGGUAACUCUAAUAUUUCGUCCACCUGGAAUCAGUUCGUAGUCAGUAACCU
Molecule: long non-coding RNA, 302 nt
Filed under: Nicotiana benthamiana
Lineage: Eukaryota; Viridiplantae; Streptophyta; Magnoliopsida; Solanales; Solanaceae
Description: long non-coding RNA (NBEN_LNC005848)
Source: RNAcentral